UCCUUGUAGGAUAUGAACCCUCUGAACCUCCUAGGACUCCACAGUUUCUAUCUCAUAAGUCCUGAAGAAGUCGUGAGCUUGAUUUACAAGUUGUGGAAAAUAGCAGGCACAACAAGUUUGAACAACUAAAGUAUGUUGAGUUCAAAUCUUCCUAGGACUCAGCUCUUUUUCCAACUGCUGGUUGAAAUUUUAGAUUAUCUUUCCUGCCUGGGUUAUAUCUGCAGAGCAGCCGACACUCAUUCUUAUAAAUGUGUUUAUGUUUGAGAUUGGAUGUAGUGGAGGAUGGAAGGAUAUAAAAUGAGAGAAGGGAACCACUGGAGAUUUUGAGAUGGUCUAUUUAUUGAGAGCAACUUGGAUCCUAAAUUUGUCACCAGCUCUGGAUUUCUCUCCCAAGCCAGGAUUGUGUGAAGUCAUUACAAUUUAAAGCAUACUGUCGGUCGGUCAUUCCCUGGACUCCAACUUCUGUUUCACCCCCAACAUACAGAGUAGAGAAGAAAUGAACGACUACAGGGAGAUUGCUUUCUCCUACUUAUCAAGACAGAGUGGUGUAGAUUCACUUCUUUUGGGGGCAUGUGUUCCAAGAAGAAGCAGAUUUCCAUUACAGACUUGAAACUGAGGUGUGUGAGGAGCACACAGAUAUCUUCCUUUGAACUUUGAAGGAGAUCAUUUGCUGUUAACAUAAAAAUAAGACUAUUCACAAAUCAUUAGCUCUGAAGAAAGAUGACAUCAACAUUGUGAGGUACUCCGCCUGUUGGACAAAUACAAAAAGAAUCAAUUGUGGCAUACCUCUUGACUAAAGAGCAUCAGUGAAUAACUGCCUGCAGGGC
Molecule: long non-coding RNA, 827 nt
Filed under: Felis catus (domestic cat)
Lineage: Eukaryota; Metazoa; Chordata; Mammalia; Carnivora; Felidae
Description: lncRNA (ENSFCAG00000053117.1)
Source: RNAcentral